This 382-nucleotide ribosomal RNA is filed under the name uncultured eukaryote. Its description in RNAcentral is "partial 18S ribosomal RNA". It matches the Rfam family "Eukaryotic small subunit ribosomal RNA", at positions 592 to 976 of the family's 1831-position model. The record is from RNAcentral.
UGUAAGCGUAUACCAAAGUUGUUGCAGUUAAAACGCUCGUAGUCGGAAUUUGGCAGUUCCGGAUGUGUGCACGUCGUGUGCGCACUUCGCGGGGAUUGCUUUUGUGGUCUUGCGUAGGAUGAGGCACUUUUAUUAGUGAACGUCCUCACGCAACCACUUUUUACUGUGAGAAAAUCAGAGUGCUCAAAGCAGGCAUUUGCCGUGAAUGUAUUAGCAUGGAAUAAUAGAGUAGGACUUGGCUCUAUUUUGUUGGUUUGUUGGGACUGAGUAAUGAUUAAGAGGGACAGUUGGGGGCAUUUGUAUUUCGGUGCUAGAGGUGAAAUUCUUAGAUUACCGAAAGACAAACUGCUGCGAAAGCGUCUGCCAAGGAUGUUUUCAUUGA